RNAcentral lists this ribosomal RNA (402 nucleotides) under Halomonas caseinilytica. Its description in RNAcentral is "bacterial SSU rRNA". It matches the Rfam family "Bacterial small subunit ribosomal RNA", at positions 70 to 472 of the family's 1533-position model. The record is from RNAcentral. Lineage: Bacteria; Pseudomonadati; Pseudomonadota; Gammaproteobacteria; Oceanospirillales; Halomonadaceae.
AACGAUCCUAGCUUGCUAGGAGGCGUCGAGCGGCGGACGGGUGAGUAAUGCAUAGGAAUCUGCCCGGUAGUGGGGGAUAACCUGAGGAAACUCAGGCUAAUACCGCAUACGUCCUACGGGAGAAAGCAGGGGCUCUUCGGACCUUGCGCUAUCGGAUGAGCUUAUGUCGGAUUAGCUGGUUGGUGAGGUAACGGCUCACCAAGGCGACGAUCCGUAGCUGGUCUGAGAGGAUGAUCAGCCACAUCGGGACUGAGACACGGCCCGAACUCCUACGGGAGGCAGCAGUGGGGAAUAUUGGACAAUGGGGGCAACCCUGAUCCAGCCAUGCCGCGUGUGUGAAGAAGGCCCUCGGGUUGUAAAGCACUUUCUGUGAGGAAGAAGGCUUGUCGGUUAAUACUCGGA